UCUGGAUCAAGGUACAAAGCAUGACCGCUUCAUAUUAGCAUCGUUGCGGUUCUUCGUAAGUCCCAAUUUGGGACGGAACCUUUCUUCACCAAACACAGAGGAGAAGUUCAUCGGCGACCCAUUAGGACCAUGUUUCACUAUGAACCACACCACACGCAGCCGGAUGAAAGAUAGGAAGAAGUUGGAACUAGGAUGGAUGAACGCAACAAAGGUCAAGAUAAAGAGGUGGCAGAAUAAUUUGGUGCCUCUCACCGCCGGCGAGGUGGCACGACGGUCCGGUUGCCAUAGAGGAACUGUGCGAAUCAUUUGGAAUUCGAUUUUUGAAUGGAAAGUUGGGACCGACCUGCCUCCAAAAGGAUAGCUUCCAUUAAACCAUAUGGUAUAUGAUGGAACUAUUCACAUGUACAUGAUUGGGUCAGUUCGAGGAACUGGCCUACCUCUCAAAUAUUGAAACCAUUCCGGACGGUUUGGAUAGUGGUAAUCCUGGUUUCCAGCCCUAUAUAUUUCUUGUUCGAUUAUUGGGGGGCACUUAAGAAUGCAAAUCUAAUAGAUAGAUUCAACUGGUGUCGAUAUGUCUAUGGCCACGUUCUGGAUGCGACUCAGAAAAUUCGUGAAUCUAUCAGUCGGAACAUCUUGUGAGAAGUAUUACUGGCUAUCAUCUGUUUCUGCAGAUUAUGUUCUUGGACAAUAAAGACAUUCAGUUGCUGAACAAACCACACAACAACCUACCAUGCAUUAGGGAUUUUGAUGCGGCAACAGUUCAGAAGAUGAUUCUCAUGAUUUCAGACCAAAAUGCUGCGGCCAUCUGGCACAUCUGUGUACAUGACGCACACAUUGCAAUCAGUUGACAUUCCUCCUGUCCCGAGAGAGACCAUUGUUGUAGCUCCUUCAAUUGACAUUGGUGUACCAACUAUCAAAGCCUAGACAUUUGCAUUCCAGCAUGUUGCUGACUUUAGUUCAUACCUAAGGAUUAAAUAUCCUAGACUAGUCAGCAUUUCUCACUAUAUUUCUUCGUACCAAUAAUUGUAUGCUCAGUACUUAUCAACAAGUAAUACUGAUAUUUGUGGCUUGCUUUUAGCACUCCUACUAUGCAAUGGAUCAGCUAAAAUUGCACAAUGCAAGGCUUCUAAAGGAGAUUGCUCUGAUGUGUUCAACAAUGAUGAAGCAUAAUGCAUUUUUUGCUGACUAGCUUGCUGGUCAAAUUGGACCAACGGUGUUGCAAGUGAUGCAUAAGUAGGAUGGAGAUAGCGAUCAUGUUGCACAUCCCAACCCGA
Long non-coding RNA from Phragmites australis (common reed), 1274 nucleotides. RefSeq lists it as uncharacterized. The record is from RefSeq and is a predicted model, not a curated record. NCBI's taxonomy places the organism in Eukaryota, Viridiplantae, Streptophyta, Magnoliopsida, Poales, Poaceae. The transcript has 3 exons.